RNAcentral lists this long non-coding RNA (489 nucleotides) under Cyanistes caeruleus (blue tit). RNAcentral's name for it is "lncRNA (ENSCCEG00000003228.1)". Lineage: Eukaryota; Metazoa; Chordata; Aves; Passeriformes; Paridae. The record is from RNAcentral.
GUGGGACCGGGGGUCCCGGCGUGCCUGGGGAGCACGCCUCCGGGAACUGCGAGUGAGGGGCAGGGCUUGCUCUCCCGACAGCCCUGAGCGCGCCUCUCUCCAGGGGAAGGGUGGCUUCUCUUCCUUUUCCCACGUAGGGAGAGAGAUACGUUUUCCAGGUUGGGCUGACCGCUCAGCUCUUGGCCGUGCUCACCCCGAGGGUGGCGAGGAGACCACCCCAAAUACAGCUGGGGCACACCUGAGGCUGGGGGCAGCGCCGGGGCAUCUUCUUCUGCAGCUUCUUUGUGCCCUGGGGCAGGUAAACAGCCCCGCAUCCUGCUCUCCAAUGACCCAUCACUUGCAUCAGAAUACCCUUUGGCGGGGAAAGCCAGGAGAAGAAGCUGAGUAACUCCCUAUUCGCUAUUUGCUGGCAGAGGCAGGAAGCGAGCUGGAUCUGGGAUUUCCCACUGUAGGGACCAGAACAAUAGCUUCGCCGGCACAGAUGUGGGA